Molecule: ribosomal RNA, 230 nt
Filed under: uncultured bacterium
Lineage: Bacteria
Description: partial 16S ribosomal RNA
Rfam family: Bacterial small subunit ribosomal RNA
Source: RNAcentral
GAUCAUGGCUCAGAUUGAACGCUGGCGGCAUGCUUUACACAUGCAAGUCGAACGGUAACAGGUCUUCGGAUGCUGACGAGUGGCGAACGGGUGAGUAAUACAUCGGAACGUGCCUAGUAGUGGGGGAUAACUACUCGAAAGAGUAGCUAAUACCGCAUGAGAUCUACGGAUGAAAGCAGGGGACCUUCGGGCCUUGUGCUACUAGAGCGGCUGAUGGCAGAUUAGGUUAG